UAACGCGUGGAGAACCUGCCGUAUACUGGGGGAUAACACUUAGAAAUAGGUGCUAAUACCGCAUAAGCGCACAGCUUCGCAUGAAGCAGUGUGAAAAACUCCGGUGGUAUACGAUGGAUCCGCGUCUGAUUAGCUUGUUGGCGGGGUAAAGGCCCACCAAGGCGACGAUCAGUAGCCGGCCUGAGAGGGUGAACGGCCACAUUGGGACUGAGACACGGCCCAAACUCCUACGGGAGGCAGCAGUGGGGAAUAUUGCACAAUGGGGGAAACCCUGAUGCAGCGACGCCGCGUGAGUGAAGAAGUAUUUCGGUACGUAAAGCUCUAUCAGCAGGGAAGAAAAUGACGGUACCUGACUAAGAAGCCCCGGCUAACUACGUGCCAGCAGCCGCGGUAAUACGUAGGGGGCAAGCGUUAUCCGGAUUUACUGGGUGUAAAGGGAGCGUAGACGGCAGCGCAAGUCUGGAGUGAAAUCCCAUGGCUUAACCAUGGAACUGCUUUGGAAACUGUGCAGCUGGAGUGCAGGAGAGGUAAGCGGAAUUCCUAGUGUAGCGGUGAAAUGCGUAGAUAUUAGGAGGAACACCAGUGGCGAACGCGNNUUACUGGACUGUNACUGANGUUGAGGCUCGAAAAGCGUGNGGAGCAAACAG
This 647-nucleotide ribosomal RNA is filed under the name uncultured bacterium. RNAcentral describes it as "bacterial SSU rRNA". It matches the Rfam family "Bacterial small subunit ribosomal RNA", at positions 111 to 775 of the family's 1533-position model. The record is from RNAcentral.